This 1024-nucleotide ribosomal RNA is filed under the name Pseudomonas tolaasii. RNAcentral describes it as "bacterial SSU rRNA". It matches the Rfam family "Bacterial small subunit ribosomal RNA", at positions 49 to 1062 of the family's 1533-position model. The record is from RNAcentral. Lineage: Bacteria; Pseudomonadati; Pseudomonadota; Gammaproteobacteria; Pseudomonadales; Pseudomonadaceae.
CAACACAUGCAAGUCGAGCGGUAGAGAGAAGCUUGCUUCUCUUGAGAGCGGCGGACGGGUUUAGUAAUGCCUAGGAAUCUGCCUGGUAGUGGGGGAUAACGUCCGGAAACGGACGCUAAUACCGCAUACGUCCUACGGGAGAAAGCAGGGGACCUUCGGCUUGCGAUCAGAUGAGCCUAGGUCGCCGUAAUAGCUAGUUGGUGAGGUAAUGGCUCACCAAGGCGACGAUCCGUAAGGGCUGGUCUGAGAGGAUGAUCAGUCCACGGAACUGAGACACGGUCCAGACUCCUACGGGAGGCAGCAGUGGGGAGGGAUAUUGGACCGGCCAAUGGGCGAAAGCCUGAUCCAGCCAUGCCGCGUGUGUGAAGAAGGUCUUCGGAUUGUAAAUUUAAGUUGGGGGGAGGAAGGGCAGUUGCCUAAUACGUAACUGUUUUGACGUUACCGACAGAAUAAGCACCGGCUUGUGCCAGCAGCCGCGGUAAUACAGAGGGUGCAAGCGUUAAUCGGAAUUACUGGAAAAGCGUAAAGCGCGCGAAUAGGUGGUUUGUUAAGUUGGAUGUGAAAUCCCCGGGCUCAACCUGGGAGCAUUCAAAAAACUGACUGACUAGUGGUAGAGGGUGGUGGAAUUUCCUGUGUAGCGGUGAAAUGCGUAGAUAUAGGAAGGAACACCAGUGGCGAAGGCGACCACCUGGACUAAUACUGACACUGAGGUGCGAAAGCGUGGAAGGAGCAAACAGGAUUAGAUACCCUGGUAGUCCACGCCGUAAACGAUGUCAACUAGCCGUUGGAAGCCUUGAGCUUUUAGUGGCGCAGCUAACGCAUUAAGUUGACCGCCUGGGGAGUACGGCCGCAAGGUUAAAACUCAAAUGAAUUGACGGGGGCCCGCACAAGCGGUGGAGCAUGUGGUUUAAUUCGAAGCAACGCGAAGAACCUUACCAGGCCUUGACAUCCAAUGAACUUUCCAGAGAUGGAUUGGUGCCUUCGGGAACAUUGAGACAGGUGCUGCAUGGCUGUCGUCAGCUCG